UUCAAGGAUUAGGGGGAGAGCAAGGAAUUCACAGCCAGCAGAGCUUUUCUGUUUGGAUGGAAAGCUGCCAUCUCCUCCGCUAUAUCCCUGUCUGGAAUAUCUGUCCAGGCAUCCAGCAAGGCUACUUCUGGUCUGAAUGCUGAAGCCAAUGGCUCAAUCGCCAGAGUGAAAAUGAGAGGGGACAGGGGACAGAGGGAUGGAUCUACUCAGGACAUUAUUGAUGUUCCCCCUCACGACCGCCUUAAAGGCGUCCCAAACGAUAUGUGGUUCCACCUCUCCAGUGUUGUUCUCUUUGAAGUACUGCUCCAACACUCUUUAUAUCUCUUCUCUGUGUUGAACUCUUAAUAAAAGAGAAUUAUUUAGU
Long non-coding RNA from Gekko japonicus, 364 nucleotides. RefSeq lists it as uncharacterized. Lineage: Eukaryota; Metazoa; Chordata; Lepidosauria; Squamata; Gekkonidae. The record is from RefSeq and is a predicted model, not a curated record. The transcript has 4 exons.